CCUACGGGUGGCAGCAGUGAGGAAUAUUGGUCAAUGGGCGGGAGCCUGAACCAGCCAAGCCGCGUGAGGGAAGAAGGUACAGCGUAUCGUAAACCUCAUUUGUCAGGGAACAAAGGCGGGGACUAGUCCCCGGAUGAGGGUACCUGAAGAAAAAGCAUCGGCUAACUCAGUGCCAGCAGCCGCGGUAAUACGGAGGAUGCGAGCGUUAUACGGAUUUAUUGGGUGUAACGGGUGCGCAGGCGGCCUGUUAAGUCAGCGGGAAAAGCCCGGGGCUCAACCCCGGCGAGCCGUUGAAACUGGCGGGCUGGAGUUGGUGAGAAGUACGCGGAAUGCGCGGUGUAGCGGUGAAAUGCUUAGAUAGCGCGCAGAACCCCGAUUGCGAAGGCAGCGUACCGGCUCCACACUGACGCUGAGGCACGAAAGCGUGGGUAUCGAACAGGAUUAGAUACCCUUGUAGUC
This 459-nucleotide ribosomal RNA is filed under the name uncultured bacterium. RNAcentral describes it as "partial 16S ribosomal RNA". It matches the Rfam family "Bacterial small subunit ribosomal RNA", at positions 338 to 795 of the family's 1533-position model. The record is from RNAcentral.